RNAcentral lists this ribosomal RNA (440 nucleotides) under uncultured bacterium. Its description in RNAcentral is "partial 16S ribosomal RNA". It matches the Rfam family "Bacterial small subunit ribosomal RNA", at positions 338 to 795 of the family's 1533-position model. The record is from RNAcentral.
CCUACGGGUGGCAGCAGUAGGGAAUAUUGCUCAAUGGGGGAAACCCUGAAGCAGCAACGCCGCGUGGAGGAUGAAGGUUUUAGGAUUGUAAACUCCUUUUGUUAGAGAAGAUUAUGACGGUAUCUAACGAAUAAGCACCGGCUAACUCCGUGCCAGCAGCCGCGGUAAUACGGAGGGUGCAAGCGUUACUCGGAAUCACUGGGCGUAAAGAGUGCGUAGGCGGGGUAAUAAGUCAGAUGUGAAAUCCUGUAGCUUAACUACAGAACUGCAUUUGAAACUGUUACUCUGGAGUGUGGGAGAGGUAGGUGGAAUUCUUGGUGUAGGGGUAAAAUCCGUAGAGAUCAAGAGGAACACCGGUGGCGAAGGCGGCCUGCUGGACUGCAACUGACGUUGAGGCCCGAAAGCGUGGGGAGCAAACAGGAUUAGAUACCCCAGUAGUC